UGUGCAUUGGGUUACUGAGGAGACGAGGCGAGCCCUAGGAAAUAUCUGGCCGCACUUCCUCUCUCCCCUCCCCCUCCCUCUGCGCCGCCACAGCUCCUCUUCUUUGUGCGCGGAGGCCAGCGCGGCUCGUCGCGCCACCAUCCGUCCACCCCGCCGCUCGUUUUCCUCCUCUCUCAGAUUGGGGGUGGCCGCCGCAGCUCCAUCUUCUCCCUGCCCUCCAUACCCAGGCGUGCAGCGGCCAGGUCGGAAGAAGCUCGAGCCGCUGUGGUGGUCCAUGGCGCCGUCGCCGUUGCCGUCACGGUGAAAAUCCCCAAUCCAACCUACCUCUUACUUUUCCCCGUACGCACGAGGCAACAGUGGCGGCGCCGCUUGUUCAUCUUCCCCCACCCCUCGCGGCUACCUGCGUCUCCGCGCUCCGGCGUCGCGCUGCCUCUGCACCUCUGCCUCGGCCUCUCCCGCAUCGCUCCACCUCGACCUUAGUCUCUGUCCACACCAUCGAGCGUGGCUGGCAACGUUUGAAGCGAUGGAACCAGCAAGGAAGAUAGAUCGGCACGCCUUGGUUUCCGCUCAUCUUGGAGUGUCCGGUUUUCCCUCUAUCGUGACUGUUCUUUCCCUUUCUCUUGCAGGAUCACCAAGGCUGCUGCUGGUUGUUUGUCUCUGCGGAUUCUUGGCUUCUCCGGCGUGGAAAGAUUCGGUUCUCUAUUGGUUGUUGCUCCUUGGGGCUUGUCUUUAACCAGGAAGCUGGGAUGCCUGCUCUUUCAUGUCGGCUUCUCAUUUGACAAAGCAUAUGUCCGUGGUUUAGAUCCAUGCUUGUGCAACCUACAGAAUUUGUUGUGCUGGCUCUUGCUUGUGCUUUACUGUUUGUCCUUCAGGAGACCAGCACAAUGUCGUUUCCUUUUUGUAGUUACUCAUUCAUACAUGCAGGUUCUUGGGGCAUCCAAUAGAAUGAAACUUUUAUUUCGAUGCCCAGUGCGUCCUUUGUUUGCUUCCUAUUAAUCUGUUCAAUGGCCAGUGUGUCUUUUGUUUGCUUCCUAUUAAUCUUAUCGUCUAUCUUUGUUCUGAAGCAUGAGGUUGCUUGUUCUUUUGUUCCGUUGUGCCCAUCAGAUUUCAUCUGUGUUUGACUCUAGGCUCGUCGUGCACUUGGAGAUUCUUGUAUUUUGUCUGCUUUGCAUGGCUUGUUGCCGACCAAGGUUCUGUUGUUAUGGCUUUCACUUGCUUUGUCAUCUACCGCCUUGUGAUCUUGCCCGUUGGACGCCUUGAUAUCAAGGUCAUGUUCUUGGUGUCUUCGCUGCUUUGCCGAGUAUUGUCUGCUUGCAUCCACCCACUAGCCAUUGAUCCAUUGUUUUCGGCCAUGACAGCUCGACUGAUCAGUCCAGCCCAGUGCCUACACCGCAGAUCAACCACCCUGCAUAGCACUUGAUGCGCGGUCGCUGAGCUGAUCCUUCUGCGUUCAUAGAAGGCCUUUGAUCCACUUCCUUAUUCAAUGGGGCUGACUACAAUCUGCUACACGUGUCGUGGUGUCGCUAGAGAAACUGGCAUGGAGGUCGUUGACAUUACAGACAAGUUCAUGCUUGAGGUGAUGUUCAUUAAGCUGCAGCUCCCACAACCACAGUUCUUCUGUUGCAAAGUUGGGGAAAGAUUUGUAGUCACAAUGAAGUUUCAUCCGAGCACACAACAUCAGCGACGUGAUGAUGAAGCAAUGACACAGGGGUAUAUCCACUUCGGGGAGGAUCUACUUCCACAGCCUAUGUGGCUUUAGAAGAUGCCGAUACUACCAGCUACAGCAGCCUUAUCUGAAUAUCCAGUUAUUACCUCUUGUUGGAAAUAUGCCCUAGAGGCAAUAAUAAAUGGUUAUUAUUAUAUUUCUUUGUUCA
This is a non-coding RNA of Aegilops tauschii subsp. strangulata, 1874 nucleotides long. The record is from RefSeq and is a predicted model, not a curated record. NCBI's taxonomy places the organism in Eukaryota, Viridiplantae, Streptophyta, Magnoliopsida, Poales, Poaceae.